CCCUUAGAUGUCCUGGGCCGCACGCGCGCUACACUGAGUGUCUGAGAUACGAGUCUGCCUAGCCGGCGAGGUCUAGGUAAUCGCUGAAAGACACAUCAUGCUUGGGAUAGAUUAUUGCAGAUAUUAAUCUUGAACGAGGAAUUCCUAGUAAGCGCAAGUCAACAGCUUGCGUUGAUUACGUCCCUGCCCUUUGUACACACCGCCCGUCGCUACUACUGAUUGGAUGUUUAAGCGAGGUUCUCGAACUGCUAGCGACUUAGCUUCGGUGAGGUCGCCGUGUGGGAAGUGAACCUAGCUUUGGUGUCUAGAGGAAGUAAAAGUCGUAUCA
RNAcentral lists this ribosomal RNA (328 nucleotides) under uncultured eukaryote. Its description in RNAcentral is "partial 18S ribosomal RNA". It matches the Rfam family "Eukaryotic small subunit ribosomal RNA", at positions 1470 to 1796 of the family's 1831-position model. The record is from RNAcentral.